Paramisgurnus dabryanus is the source of this 995-nucleotide long non-coding RNA. RefSeq lists it as uncharacterized. The record is from RefSeq and is a predicted model, not a curated record. Lineage: Eukaryota; Metazoa; Chordata; Actinopteri; Cypriniformes; Cobitidae.
UAACAGACAUGGGGAUAUUGCUACGAGGACUGAACCACUACCGUGGUGAGGUAUUUGCCUACCCAAUGUUUUUGCAAAGAGAGUUGUCGAAGAGGGCAAAUGUCACUUUCUUCUGCAUGGAUGUUGUCUGCAGGUACUGGACAUACCUAAGCAAAGUGGCUGAAGAAUCAUCAGAUCUUCAGCCGCUAAUGGAAAUGAGGUCAUUUCUUAGUGUAAUGCAUGCCAAAGCUCAUACAGCGAAAUGCGAGGUGAGAUGGGGUGGCAGAAAUCAGGAUGGAGCAGGGAACACUGUUGGAUAGGAAGUUGAACAAGUAUGCUACUACUUACAUUUUUCUAACUAUGUAGAUAUAGGAGACUUCACUGAUACUUUACCAGCUAACAGAGAAAAGUUCUAAGAACGUUCCCUGAAAGUUCCAAAUGUUCCCAAAAACGUUCUGCCAACAUAGAAAGUGUCCAGUUUUCUAAGAACAUUUCUGUGUUAUCUGAAUGUUAGAGGAAUGCUACAUUUUACCAUUUUCAAAUAUUAUGACUACUGUAUGUCAUGUUUUAAUGUUCACGUGGUGUUUGAAACAACAACAGUUUUUUAAAUUGACUUGUUAUGCUUGAUAUGUAAAUAAUAGAGAAACAUUGCUUUUUAUUAUUUUUAUAAAUUGUUAUUGUUGGGGUUGUGUCUGUGGGUCUCUUGUUUUAUUUGUUGUUUCUUUAUUUGGUUAUUGUAUGGUCAUAUGCCUUGCUGUUUUGUAUUGUUUGUGAUUCCACCUCUGUCAUCUGUUACCUUGGACUCAUUCAUUACAUCUUUUCACUACCCACAUGUGUUUUGCAUUAGUUAAUUAUUGUUCCUGUCUUACCAUUGGUCAUUGCUAUGUAUAUAUUCACUUUCUGUUCACUGGUUUGUCACGGUUCAUUGUGUAUAUGUCGUGAUUUGCCCCGUGUGAUAUCGUGUUUGUUUUUGUAACUGACCUGAGUUUUGUUCAUUAAAUUCAACUGCAAAUGGA